AUUAUGACUAGCACUGAUUUUAGCUGUUAAGUUUUUAACAUAACACUUUAAAUUCUUACAUGUACACAUGAUAUAUAAAAGAAAAAGGUAUGCAGUGCUCUUCCACUAAUUGACAACUAGAUAAGGUCAGGAAAAAAUAGUGAGGGAGAGGAAAGCAGGUUACUUAGGAUUCUGUCUUUAAAAUCACUUCAUGAAUAAACAGAGGAAAUCUGCCUGAUGGCGUUAAAAACAAAUAACAAUGCUGCAAACUGAGAGGCUGGGGAAACCUCUGCAUGAAAUGAAAAUGGCAGAUACACUGAGACACACUGGGCUGCAGGUAUUAGGACAGGAACGAGGACAAGUGUCGAGUCAGUUGGGACACACAGGAAGUAAAACAUGUUAACAGACAUACCCAUUUG
This is a long non-coding RNA of Poecilia latipinna (sailfin molly), 398 nucleotides long. RefSeq lists it as uncharacterized. Lineage: Eukaryota; Metazoa; Chordata; Actinopteri; Cyprinodontiformes; Poeciliidae. The transcript is spliced from 3 exons. The record is from RefSeq and is a predicted model, not a curated record.